UACGUAGGUGGCAAGCGUUGUCCGGAUUUACUGGGCGUAAAGAGCGCGCAGGCGGUCGUUCAAGUCGAGUGUGAAAGCCCCCGGCUCAACUGGGGAGGGUCACUCGAUACUGAUCGACUCGAAGGCAGAAGAGGGAAGCGGAAUUCCCGGUGUAGUGGUGAAAGUGCGUAGAUAUCGGGAGGAACACCAGUGGCGAAGGCGGCGUCCUGGCUCGGCAUCUGACGCUCAGACACGACAGCAUGGGGAGCGAACGGG
Molecule: ribosomal RNA, 255 nt
Filed under: uncultured bacterium
Lineage: Bacteria
Description: partial 16S ribosomal RNA
Rfam family: Bacterial small subunit ribosomal RNA
Source: RNAcentral